CACACACACACACACACACACACACGAAUGUCUAGCUUACACACCCUAGCAUUUUCCCACCUGCUGGAAGUCGUACACAUACAUUACUGCAACGAUGGAGAGUGAAUUCUCAAGUUCAUCUCUGUGAGCUGAGAAAAUGUGCAGACAGGAGGCAGCUCCCCGCCACGGCCGCUGGAGCUCAGAGAGCCUUCUUCACCAGCAAAGCCAAACUAAGCUCCCUUCCAGCUUUUCCUCGAGGGCAGUGACUUAUCAAUGAUGAAACUUCCAGGUCCUUAGCCUCCUAUCCUGUCAUGAGAAUCUAUCAUUUCCACACCGUUGACUGGAGCCUAAAUGCUGCUUUGGGUGUAGAAGAAAAAGAAAUAAAGCUGAAAGAAUAUUCACAGCCACCCCCGCAGGCAGUUAUGAAAACUCAGCUGAAAGGAUUGUGUCUGGCUUCCCGGAGAAGAAAGGAGAAAGAGGAAAGACAAAAACAGUCAAGAGCUGACAAAUUCCAGAGUCCCUUCAAACCUUAAUGUUGCAGCCUGGUAGAAAGCUUUAGUGAAGUCUUCUCUUACAAUGGCUACUCUCUUGUGACAUCUUUUUUUCAAGAGGAAGAGCUGAAGAGGAAGUCAGAUGACAUGUUCCUGGCAAGAUCUUGUUACCAUCUCUUCUUGGACAGAGGCAGGAAAUAAUGAGGAAGGUACUUCGUGACACUGCAUGGCUUAGGGUGGCAUGAGCUGGGAAAGUUGCAAGCAGACGCUCCAAGGGUGGUCGGUUGGGUUUGCUUUGAGGGGAAGAUUAGCCCUGAGCUAACUACUGCCAAUCCUCCUCUUUUUUCUGAGGAAGACUGGCCCUGAGCUGACAUCCAUGCCCAUCUUCCUCUACUUUGUACGUGGGAUACCUAUCACAGCAUGGCUUUUUGCCAAGCGGUGCCAUGUCCGCACCCAGGAUCCGAACCAGCGAACCCCAGGCCGCCAAGAAGCAGAACGUGCGAACUUAACUGCUGCAUUACAGGGCCAGACCCUUAAUUCCUG
Molecule: long non-coding RNA, 1013 nt
Filed under: Equus caballus (horse)
Lineage: Eukaryota; Metazoa; Chordata; Mammalia; Perissodactyla; Equidae
Description: lncRNA (ENSECAG00000050649.1)
Source: RNAcentral